AAGAGGUUACUUUAACACAUGUUCCUGACCUUGGCACCGGAAUGUUUGUUGCGUUUGCAUAUGUUGUUCUUCUUUCUAGUGUCCUUUUCUAAACCUUUUUCCUGAAAAUUUUCCCUUUUUUGUCUCCCUCUUUCAUUCUCUCUCUUGAUCAUCACUCAUUCAGCAAAAGAAUGGUGGGUUUCUCUUUCUGAAGGAGAAAAGAAACAAACGUGAAUGCAAUAUGAUCACCAUCAUCUUUAGUAUUCCUUUUUAUUGUUGUUUUGGCAUUGCUAUUAUUUCUUGAAAUGUGCUAAUCAAUUUGCCUCACGAUUAGAAUAUAAUUGCGGAAGCUUUCAAGCCUCCAUGUAAGAACUCAAUCUCCUUAACCGAUGGAAGUACACGCAAGCAGGUGCGUUGUCAUGUUCUGCUGCAAUUUGCUGAUGGUAGAGCAAUGUGAAUGAAUGAUCUAACCUUUUUCCGUUUUGUUGGUAAUUUGUGCUUAUGGAGUUUCCUUGUUUACCAUCACUUCUAACCUAUCUAUCAAUGUGAAAAUUGGACCUUUGAGUAUGUAACUCAUUUUUUCAAAAAGUUCCUCGUGCCUCUCUUUUCAUGACAAAGAGGUUUCAGAGUUAGAUUAUCACAGAUGAACAUUUGAUUCAGAAAUCGCUUGCAACCCCAAUUGCAGCCUCAAUGUUAAGGAUUUUGUGGUCUUUGUGACUGCAUUCCGACCACAAUUGUGGCCACAUCAUCUAUAAUUGUUCAAUUUUCCACAGUAUGAAGCAUUUCAACCAAACACCCACAGUCGAGGCUGCUUCAGUCAUCCUAUUAUUUACAAUUUUUCACACUAUCAAAGAUUUCAACUAAAUCAAAACCACGGCUAAAUAGAACUGUCGACUAAUUAUUGAUCCAAAUGGUUUUGGUAUGAGAUCAGAUUCCAUGUGGGUUUCUAUAUUUUAUCCUUAUCUGACUCGCAUGUGCACGAAAUUGUAAGGCAAUAUUCUAUCCAGGUAAUGGCUCAAUGAUCUGAUUGUCACUAAUUUGUGGUGCAUGCUAUAAUCUAUGUGACAGAAAGUGGUUAGUCCAUGACUUUGUCUUUAUAUACCCAUGUUCAAUUUCUGAAAUUUUAGAUGAGAUUUGGGAUUUCUAGUUAAGUAUUGUGUUGUUUUUCUUUAUCUUAUAGCAGCAUGUUAAUCCCUUCAACUGUAAGAUAUUAUUGUCGAGGGAAAAGAUACCUCUGUUUGCUUUGUAACUUCUCCAUUAUUAUCACUCUUCAAAUGUAAUCACUUCCACAUGAAGAUUAAGAUUUAGCUUGCAGGAUGCUGAGAAAGGGUAUUAUUUCAUUCAUUUUUUAAAAGCUUUAAGAAGAACACCUUGAUUUACUCUUUUGUACACUAUCUCAUUUGCUAGGUACGCAUAAAGAAGGAAAAUGGGCAAAUGGUCAUGGUUCCUCUCUUUCAAUGUCAUGACAAUAUAGUUGGGCAGGUCUAGCGUGUCCGUAUGGUUAGGGUCUAAGCAUAAAGCUGCUUGACAAUCUUGAAGAGCUGAAGAUAGGUCUCCUACUGCCUCAUAAAAUGCUGCUCGGAGAUGAAGCAUUUGCAAGUCAGGUUUGAAAUUUAUGGCCUUGCUGAGCUCAUCUACAGCUUCAGAC
This 1627-nucleotide small RNA is filed under the name Vigna angularis var. angularis. RNAcentral's name for it is "Non-protein coding transcript". Lineage: Eukaryota; Viridiplantae; Streptophyta; Magnoliopsida; Fabales; Fabaceae. The record is from RNAcentral.